This is a long non-coding RNA of Panonychus citri (citrus red mite), 1521 nucleotides long. RefSeq lists it as uncharacterized. NCBI's taxonomy places the organism in Eukaryota, Metazoa, Arthropoda, Arachnida, Trombidiformes, Tetranychidae. The transcript is spliced from 2 exons. The record is from RefSeq and is a predicted model, not a curated record.
GGAAUGAGUUAAAUCAUUACUAAUAAUCAAGAAUGAUUAAUUCAUCAUCUUGUCUGUUAAUUAUAAGGGGAGGAGACAAAAAUAACAAUCAUUUACAUUUGAAUAGAUUAAUAAUGAAGAUCGUUUAUGAUUUAUGUAAUAAUUAACGAAGUGGAUAAUUUAAUCUUACUCUUAAUUUUUGUAGAUUAAUUAACAAUUUGAAUCAGUUGAUUAGGUUUCUUUUUCCUGGUUGAUGAUGAUGAAAAAAAAAGUGUCACUGGUUUUGAGUUAUUGGUGAAAAUGAUGACAGAAGGGGGAAAAAUAUGAUAUCAAGUGAUGAGGAUGAACAUUUGAUGAUGAUGAAGAUGAUUUCUCGUCAGUUAUCAUCCGGAUGAUGAUAAAAUCCUCUUGAUAUAUAGAUUUUCAUGUAUCACAAUUAAGCCUUGAAGGUAAACUGAGAGAGAGAGAGAGAAAAUGUCAACAUGGUGAAUCAAGUUUUCCCGUUUCAAUGGAUUCACAAUCUUAUCACCAAACUCUGAACAAAGUUCAGUAUCACCAUGAGCUCAGAAUAUUAUUUAUAAUCAAGAAUAAGUGACAACUUUUUUCUUCCAAUUCUUUUUCAAACUUAUUGUUCAAAUUUCUCAUGAUAAUCUAUUCAAACAAUUAAUCUUGAGAAUUGCCAGAUAAUUAGAUUAAAUUAAUCCAUUGAUUUCGGUGUUAAACUGAUGAAAAUUUAAAUUAGAUUCAAAUGAUCAAAGUUAAUCAACUUUAAUCUUGAACAUUAAAUCAAUGGAAAGGUUUUCUUAUUCAGUUUAAUUGUUAAUGUCUUCAAUUUGAUUAUUAGUUUAACUUUAGUUCGUUAGUUAAUUAAUUGUGAUUACUUUGCAUUUCGAUUUGAUCGAAAUUUUUUUUCUCCUCUUUGUCUUCUUUCAUUAAUUAAUUAAUACAAAGAUUCAUUGUAAAUCCUAAUCGCUAAUUGUUGUUAGUAAUAUUAUUUUUUCUUGUUCCUCAUUUUUUUCCCAAUUUAUGAUGAAAGACAAUUAACUUUAAUCAUCGUAAUCAACGAGGACCCCUAAGGUUAACAAUUUAUUUAACCCAAGAGACUCAGGAAACAAUGUUGGUUAAUGUUAAUCGAUUAGGAGCUCGAGAUGAAAUGUUAAUCAACAAUUUACUUCGUAAUUCAAUUUUCUUGGGUAAACCUAAAUUAAAGACAAUCUUUCAACAAUUACAACGAAACUAUCACAAUCAAAAAGUUUCUGUAUUCUGUUCUGGAUCUUCAGGAUUAAGGAAAGAAAUUAAGAAAACAUGUCGGACAAUUAACUUAAAUGGAAGUCGAUUUGUCUUUAAACAUGAAGAUUUUGGAUUCUAAUUAACUAAUUGUAACAAUUGCCAGCGAUUAGUUCAGAUGAUUAUCUCAUCUAAUUCAAUUGUAAAUAUCUAUCAUAUUGAUCACUUUUGACAAUCAAAGGAAUUGAUUAUAUUUGAUCAACACUCACAAAUUGUUGAUUAAUUUGAAAUAAAAGUUUUUUAAAUCAUCAUCAA